GCUGUUCUCUCUAGGGUAGCCCCAAACCCUCCCCGUCCCUUGCAUGGCUUCCUGCUGUCACGCACCGUCCCUGCAGUAACUCGUGAUAACAGGUGGGGUGGGCCAGAGGUUGCUCUCGUUUGUGGUGCCCAUAGUCCCUGCAGUAGGCCGAGUUCUGAAAGGCUGAGGCAGUGUUGGAUCGUGUUGGCCACAUGGGAUGAUCAAACUCGGCAUGGAAUUCGUUUUUAGGAAGUGAGCGAGGAUACAUGUAAAUGAUAUCUGAUGAAAUAAUAUAACAUGGCUUAUUUAUGUACUGAAACGUGAAGGACGUCCAGAGUCAGCGAUUCCGCAGCAACCACGAGCACCUUGAUAUAUGUGCUCCCACCUUGAUUUAAAUGAGAUGGGUCUCGAUUCAGAGCACCCGUGGGAGGUGAAAUAAUAGAGAUCAAACAAGAUUUAACAGAAAUAUUAAGAUAGAAUUGGAUCAGGUAGUAACAAUAAUUAAGUAGCAGCAAGAAGAAGAAGAUACCUGAAGGAGAUUCUUUGCUAGGUCUAUGGAGACCAGUCCGGCGCUGCAGCCCAUUCCACCGAGGUUGUAGCUUAUGACGUCGCCCCUUAGCUUGUACCGGUUCACGAU
RNAcentral lists this long non-coding RNA (616 nucleotides) under Musa acuminata (dwarf banana). RNAcentral's name for it is "long non-coding RNA (MACU_LNC003456)". The record is from RNAcentral. Lineage: Eukaryota; Viridiplantae; Streptophyta; Magnoliopsida; Zingiberales; Musaceae.